UACGUAUGUCGCAAGCGUUAUCCGGAUUUAUUGGGCGUAAAGCGCGUCUAGGCGGUUUAGUAAGUCUGAUGUGAAAAUGCGGGGCUCAACUCCGUAUUGCGUUGGAAACUGCCAAACUAGAGUACUGGAGAGGUAGGCGGAACUACAAGUGUAGAGGUGAAAUUCGUAGAUAUUUGUAGGAAUGCCGAUGGGGAAGCCAGCCUACUGGACAGAUACUGACGCUAAAGCGCGAAAGCGUGGGUAGC
RNAcentral lists this ribosomal RNA (245 nucleotides) under uncultured Fusobacterium sp. RNAcentral describes it as "partial 16S ribosomal RNA". It matches the Rfam family "Bacterial small subunit ribosomal RNA", at positions 524 to 769 of the family's 1533-position model. The record is from RNAcentral. Lineage: Bacteria; Fusobacteriati; Fusobacteriota; Fusobacteriia; Fusobacteriales; Fusobacteriaceae.